Long non-coding RNA from Heterocephalus glaber (naked mole-rat), 1683 nucleotides. The record is from Ensembl. Lineage: Eukaryota; Metazoa; Chordata; Mammalia; Rodentia; Bathyergidae.
CAUGUCCGGUCCCUGGCUGGAUGACACCCUGGCCUCACCCUGUCUUGGUCCCAAGCAGGGUACUUCCCCUUUGGCUUUGCAGUCCCCUCUACCAAAGCCUUGGAGAAGGCCCAGAAGGCACUUGGAGGGAAGGCAGAGAUUUCCUGCUAGGCCCACUCACCUCUGCCCCAAAGGUUCUCAGAGAAGGGGGCUGAAGGGAGGGCCCUGCUCUGUAUACAUUCGAGUCUUGCUCUGGGUGCUCUGAUGCAGUCUGGUAGCUUGUUUGGUAAAUAAUGACAUUGUUAUAAAUAUUUAAUAAGUCAAGGGACUGCAGUGCAUGAAAAAUGGAUGAGGUCCCUGUGUGGGAAAUGCAGGCUUCACUACGUAUGCUCUGGAGGAGGCAGUUAGAGUCUGACGUCUGCUCAGGCUGACACCUGUAUUUGUGGUAGGGCUGAUGAAUGGCCAGAGAAAUAUUCUCCAUGUUUAGGAAGCACCAAUCCAUCAUGCUAGAGUUUAGGCUGAGGGAGGAAUUUGCAACCAUCAAUAUUGCCUGUGUUUAUUAAGCAUCUCGUGCUGCGGGAGACAGCGAGUCCCGCAUUGGUCCUGGGAGCAGCGCCUCUGGAAAGGGCAUGGUGGCUCCUUGAUGAAUGACUUUAAUAAGAAGCAGCUUGGAAGUACCUUCAAGGUUAUAGAAGUGGAAAUGGCUGCCCCCUUCCAGCAACAGAAAUGCUCCAGUGCGAUGUUUUUGUCACAGAUCUUGGAGCCGGACUGCCUGGGGUCAGAUCCUACCUUUAUCCCUGCGUGACCCAGGGCAAGUUGUUUAGCAAUUUUUAUGUCUCUGCUUCAUAUAUUUAAAGUACUUAGAGGCCUUCUGUUGUUUGGUAUUAAUUGGAUUAGUGAUUAUGAUUCCCCUUGAUCAUCAUCCAACGGGAGUGGAUGAGGGAGGCCAUGGAAUACAGUGGCCUGCCUUUGUGCAAUACUGAAAAAUUCAUGUGACUGGAUCUUUGGAGUAGGAGUUAGGAAAUUGGCCUCGGGGAAAACACUACAUCCAUCCUCUUCUGACUUGUUGGUCUACAGGAGAAAACAAAUCCCUCUCACCUCCCUUAGGUUUAUGACAUGAACUGGCACCAUCCCAGCCAGUGCCCAGCCAGACAUUACUCUUUCAUGAGGUAGAAAGGAACCACCCUUUUCUGUCUUGGGGGAGGUUAGUAGUAUUCUCAAUGUGGAAGCACUGGCUUUCUUUCCUUUGAAAUGUUAGAAUCCCAUUGGGAAUUUUUAGAAAAGAAUAUUCUCCCGGAGAGACUGAUCCAGCUGGUCGCAGGUGAGGCCCGGAUGCCUGCGUAUUGUUAAGGUUCUCUGGAGGGUUCUGAAGUGCAGCCAGGGUUGAAGACCUCUGGUUGGAGGGCGUCUAAUACUUGCAGUAUUCAAGUCUAGAGUGUACUUCCUGUUAAACAAGGGAGGAGGUGAUGAAUAAGUCAGGAGACUCUGCAGGAGGCAGGUAGGACUGAUGAUAAGAUCAAGAAAGGCCUGUGCACUUCUGUAUACAAGGGUUGUUACACGAUUUUUCAUGGGAAAUGGAUGAUUAACAUGGUUUUUUAAAAAGUGCAUCUAAAAUGGCUGGAGUUUGGGAAAACACUGUGGUUUGGGACUGGGUGGGCCAUCAGUUUGCUUGCUGUGGCCCAUGAAAUAGGAGGUUCUGUCGAG